RNAcentral lists this ribosomal RNA (459 nucleotides) under uncultured bacterium. Its description in RNAcentral is "partial 16S ribosomal RNA". It matches the Rfam family "Bacterial small subunit ribosomal RNA", at positions 338 to 795 of the family's 1533-position model. The record is from RNAcentral.
CCUACGGGAGGCAGCAGUGAGGAAUAUUGGUCAAUGGUCGGGAGACUGAACCAGCCAAGCCGCGUGAGGGAUGAAGGUACAGAGUAUCGUAAACCUCUUUUGUCAGGGAACAAAGGCGGGGACGUGUCCCCGGAUGAGUGUACCUGAAGAAAAAGCAUCGGCUAACUCAGUGCCAGCAGCCGCGGUAAUACGGAGGAUGCGAGCGUUAUCCGGAGUGAUUGGGUUAAAAGGGUGCGCAGGCGGUCUGUUAAGUCAACGGUCAAAGCCCGGGGCUCAACCCCGGCCCGCCGUUGAAACUGGCAGUCUCGAGUGGGAGAGAAGUAUGCGGAAUGCGCGGUGUAGCGGUGAAAUGCAUAGAUAUCGCGCAGAACUCCGAUUGCGAAGGCAGCAUGCCGGCUCCACACUGACGCUGAGGCACGAAAGCGUGGGUAUCGAACAGGAUUAGAUACCCUAGUAGUC